UGCAAGUCGAACGAUGAAGCCGGGUGCUUGCACCGGGUGGAUUAGUGGCGAACGGGUGAGUAUCACGUGAGUAACCUGCCCUUGACUCUGGGAUAAGCCUGGGAAACUGGGUCUAAUACCGGAUACGACCAGUCCUCGCAUGGGGUGCUGGUGGAAAGAUUUAUCGGUCUUGGAUGGACUCGCGGCCUAUCAGUUUGUUGGUGAGGUAAUGGCUCACCAAGGCGAUGACGGGUAGCCGGCCUGAGAGGGUGACCGGCCACACUGGGACUGAGACACGGCCCAGACUCCUACGGGAGGCAGCAGUGGGGAAUAUUGCACAAUGGGCGCAAGCCUGAUGCAGCGACGCCGCGUGCGGGAUGACGGCCUUCGGGUUGUAAACCGCUUUCAGCAGGGAAGAAGCUUUUUGUGACGGUACCUGCAGAAGAAGCGCCGGCUAACUACGUGCCAGCAGCCGCGGUAAUACGUAGGGCGCGAGCGUUAUCCGGAAUUAUUGGGCGUAAAGGGCUCGCAGGCGGUUUGCCACGUCUGCUGUGAAAGCCCGGGGCUUAACUCCGGGUGUGCAGUGGGUACGGGUAGACUAGAGUGCAGUAGGGGAGACUGGAAUUCCUGGUGUAGCGGUGAAAUGCGCAGAUAUCAGGAAGAACACCGAUGGCGAAGGCAGGUCUCUGGGCUGUUACUGACGCUGAGGAGCGAAAGCAUGGGGAGCGAACAGGAUUAGAUACCCUGGUAGUCCAUGCCGUAAACGUUGGGCACUAGGUGUGGGGGACAUUCCACGUUUUCCGCGCCGUAGCUAACGCAUUAAGUGCCCCGCCUGGGGAGUACGGCCGCAAGGCUAAAACUCAAAGGAAUUGACGGGGGCCCGCACAAGCGGCGGAGCAUGCGGAUUAAUUCGAUGCAACGCGAAGAACCUUACCAAGGCUUGACAUG
RNAcentral lists this ribosomal RNA (927 nucleotides) under Nesterenkonia halobia. RNAcentral describes it as "bacterial SSU rRNA". It matches the Rfam family "Bacterial small subunit ribosomal RNA", at positions 56 to 988 of the family's 1533-position model. The record is from RNAcentral. Lineage: Bacteria; Bacillati; Actinomycetota; Actinomycetes; Micrococcales; Micrococcaceae.